This is a long non-coding RNA of Magnolia sinica, 630 nucleotides long. RefSeq lists it as uncharacterized. The transcript is spliced from 3 exons. The record is from RefSeq and is a predicted model, not a curated record. Lineage: Eukaryota; Viridiplantae; Streptophyta; Magnoliopsida; Magnoliales; Magnoliaceae.
UUUCCUGAAAGGACUGAAGUUUUGAUGUUACAAUUGUUUUGCAAGGGGAAUACUCGCAACCAUAUUUGAAACCACCACAUUUGGACCACCCUAUUUCUACACUUCUUUCAGAAUCUACAAUGGCUUUCAAUCGCAUUCUUUCCAGUGAUCAUGAUGGAAAUUACAAAGGCCCGCUCAUGCUUACUCUGAAGGCAGGGUGGAUGUUGCAUGUGGGAGGAUUGGAGCUGCAUAUUUCAGAUUCAAGCAUCUGAUGAUGGAAUAUACGAAGCUAUUAAAAUUUCAAGAUGAAGUCGAGCACAUUUCUCUAAUGAAGCCAAAGAUUUGUAUUUUCAGCAUUAUUGUAAUUAUAAUUGAUUGAAUGAAUUGGAUUGUAAUUGAUUGUAAUUGUAAUUGAUUGAAUAAAGGAUUGCAAUUGUAAUUGAUUAAAUAAAGGAUUGUAAUUGAUUGUAAUUGAAUGAAUGAAUGAUUGUAUAGGUGAGAAUUGAAUGAACAAAUGAUUAUAUAUAAUUUCUUAAUGUACAAAAUAACUACGGAUAUUGACCGUAGCCACUAAUUUGACAGGUGUAGCCUUUUUAAUUUUUGCAUAUUACUACGGACUUUUAGCUACAAAUAAUAUCCGUAGCUGUUUGA